Molecule: ribosomal RNA, 465 nt
Filed under: uncultured bacterium
Lineage: Bacteria
Description: partial 16S ribosomal RNA
Rfam family: Bacterial small subunit ribosomal RNA
Source: RNAcentral
GACGAACGCUGGCGGCGUGCUUAACACAUGCGAGUCGAACGGAAAGGCCCCUUUGGGGGUACUCGAGUGGCGAACGGGUGAGUAACACGUGAAUAACCUGCCCUUGACUUCGGGAUAACUUCAGGAAACUGGGGCUAAUACCGGAUAGGAAUCCUUGCUGCAUGGUGGGGGUUGGAAAGCUUCGGCGGUUUUGGAUGGACUCGCGGCUUAUCAGCUUGUUGGUGGGGUAGUGGCUUACCAAGGCUUUGACGGGUAGCCGGCCUGAGAGGGCGACCGGCCACAUUGGGACUGAGAUACGGCCCAGACUCCUACGGGAGGCAGCAGUGGGGAAUAUUGCACAAUGGGCGGAAGCCUGAUGCAGCAACGCCGCGUGCGGGAUGACGGCCUUCGGGUUGUAAACCGCUUUCAGCAGGGGCGAAGCUUGUGGUGACGGUACCUGCAGAAGAAGCACCGGCUAACUACGUG